CGGCAAAUGCCCAAACCACAUGCUAUUAUUUAUAUAUAAGGCAUGGAAGUUGGAGAGAAGGGUAGAGAGGGUAUAUUUACAACGUGUACAUGUAGGACCCAACUUAAUUAGUAAUUAGGAUUCUCUCCUAGGGUCCACUUUGACGCUAAGUGGGUUUGCCAUUUCACAAGAUAGCCUUAGUAUUUCGGACAGAUCCACCGAGUUGUGAUCUGAUUUCACCCACUCAAACUCAUGCAACAACGUCCCUACCCAGAAGCUAACUGUGGCCAAACCCAAUGCCUUUCCUGGGCAUGUCCUCCUACCCGACCCGAAUGGAGCCAGCCUGAGGUCUGAACCCAACACCGUAACCUCCAUGUCCACGGCACCAGCAUCUUUGCACACAAAUCUCUCUGGCCAGAACUUGAUUGGGUCCAUCCAAACUUCUGGGUCCCUUGUUAUGGCCCACAUGUUUACCAUAGCUGUGGUCCCCUCGGGCACCUCAUACCCAUCCACUGUAGUGUCGGUGAUUGCCAUUCGGGCCCAGGAUAAAAGUGGGCCAGGUGGAUGUAGCCUAAGCACUUCUUUCACUACUGCUUGCAGAUAAACCGUUGACUGAAUGUCUGAUUCCAUUAACGGCCGUGAUCUUCCCACGACUCCAUCGAGCUCAUUGUGGACUUUGUCUUGAAUAUCAGGGUGAAGAACCAUUCUCGCUAGUAUCCACUCUAUCAAAACAGCUACGGUGUCUGUUCCUCUAAAAAUCAUCUCCCAAAGAACAGCAGCCACAUCCUGAUCUGAUAACUUGUCCGGUCCUUGAAGAGAGAGUAAAACAUCUACAAAAUCUUGUCUUGUUCGGCCGUUCAACUGAGCUUUGUGUUCUUGAAUAAUCCGGUUGACAAAAUGGUUCACCUUAGGAACCAAUUGGGAGCACCUGAAACGGAUCUUUUGAAGGUCGAAACUUGCAAGCCAAGGAAGAUGAUCGGACCAGUUGAGCUUCCCUAGUAGUUCAUACCCCUCCUCAACUAACGCUCUCAGUUGUUCCGUUUCGCUGUUUGAUGAACCCAGUUCGUAUCUGCGCCCAAAGACCAACCACAUCAUGUUGUUAAGUGAAGCUCUCUUUAGUAUAUCACGGACUCGGAAAUCUCCUCUGUGACAUGCAAUAAGUGAUACCAUUUGGGAACCAAUAUCUUUCCUCUGUGACUCUGUAGAGCUGAUUUGUUUGGGACAAAAGAGAUGUGUUGCCGCGAUUCUCCUUAGGGUUCGCCAAUAGACCCCAUAAGGAGCGAAACCAAUGGCUCUGUUAAACAUGAGUCCAUAAGCAGACUCUUUCACAGGACGAUCUGCAAAGACCGAGCUGUUUAGGAUUUCUUUAGCUACAACAGGAUUGCAUGUGAUUAUAACCCUAGUCUCUCCUAGGCUAAAAGCCAUGAGUCUUUUCGCGUUGAACAGGAUAGCUGCAGCUGCAAGCUUUUGAUGAGCUAAGUUGGCCAUCAGGUUCAUGCUGCCUAGCACUGGAAACCCUCUAGGACCUGGAACUAACUUGGCUUUACUUCCUAUCUUGAACCAGUACUUACCCCAGGCAGGGCCUCCAGG
This 1569-nucleotide unclassified non-coding RNA is filed under the name Hevea brasiliensis (rubber tree). Lineage: Eukaryota; Viridiplantae; Streptophyta; Magnoliopsida; Malpighiales; Euphorbiaceae. The record is from RNAcentral.